GUUAGAUUGGCUAUGGGCGUAACUGGUUAUAUCAUUCAACUUUAAAAUAGUGAGAGUUCUGUUGGUAACAAACACUUUGGUUCCGACACUCGAAUAAGUGCCUGUGAAGCAAUAGAAAUUCUACAUCUCAACCAUGAACAAACUCGUCCUGGUGCUCCUGCUUGUAGGCUGCGUCGCUCUGCUGACUCUGCUGCCACAAGUUGAAGCGUCGUUCCGAAAGUCGCCGUGUUAUUGCCAACAAAUCUGUGGUGAUACGGAGACUGACACAGGCAGCUGCCCAGAUAAUAAGCCAGGGAAAUUUUGCUGCUAUCAACGUUGAUAAUUGCAAACUCUCCCAAGACAUAUCCUGAAACGACCGUCUUGUUAUUAGUUUGAUAAACUAUUGAAAUGAAGAGAAAGCAUCCUAU
This is a long non-coding RNA of Dreissena polymorpha, 407 nucleotides long. RefSeq lists it as uncharacterized. NCBI's taxonomy places the organism in Eukaryota, Metazoa, Mollusca, Bivalvia, Myida, Dreissenidae. The transcript has 4 exons. The record is from RefSeq and is a predicted model, not a curated record.